Molecule: ribosomal RNA, 500 nt
Filed under: uncultured bacterium
Lineage: Bacteria
Description: bacterial SSU rRNA
Rfam family: Bacterial small subunit ribosomal RNA
Source: RNAcentral
CCAGGAUGAACGCUAGCGACAGGCCUAACACAUGCAAGUCGAGGGGCAGCACAAGGAGCAAUCUGAGGUGGCGACCGGCGCACGGGUGAGUAACACGUAUGCAACCUGCCUGUAAGCGGGGAAUAACCCGUUGAAAGACGGACUAAUACCGCAUAAUACUAAAUUACUGCAUGGUAAUUUAUUUAAACAUUUAUGGCUUACAGAUGGGCAUGCGCAUGAUUAGCUAGUUGGAGAGGUAACGGCUCCCCAAGGCAACGAUCAUUAGGGGUUCUGAGAGGAAGGUCCCCACACUGGUACUGAGACACGGACCAGACUCCUACGGGAGGCAGCAGUGAGGAAUAUUGGUCAAUGGACGAGAGUCUGAACCAGCCAAGUCGCGUGCAGGAAGAAUGUCCUUAAUGGAUUGUAAACUGCUUUUGCAGGGGAAUAAAGUGCAUCACGUGUGAUGUUUUGUAUGUACUCUGCGAAUAAGGACCGGCUAACUCCGUGCCAGCAGCUGC